Molecule: ribosomal RNA, 484 nt
Filed under: uncultured bacterium
Lineage: Bacteria
Description: bacterial SSU rRNA
Rfam family: Bacterial small subunit ribosomal RNA
Source: RNAcentral
AUUGAACGCUGGCGGAAUGCUUUUACACAUGCAAGUCGAACGGCAGCACGGGGCAACCUGGUGGCGAGUGGCGAACGGGUGAGUAAUGCAUCGGAACGUGCCAUUGAGUGGGGGAUAACGUAGCGAAAGUUGCGCUAAUACCGCAUAUUCUGUGAGCAGGAAAGCAGGGGACCGCAAGGCCUUGCGCUCUUUGAGCGGCCGAUGUCAGAUUAGCUAGUUGGUGAGGUAAAGGCUUACCAAGGCGACGAUCUGUAGCGGGUCUGAGAGGAUGAUCCGCCACACUGGAACUGAGACACGGUCCAGACUCCUACGGGGAGGCAGCAGUGAGGAAUUUUGGCAAUGGGGGGAAACCCUGAACCAGCGACGCCGCGUGUGGGAUGAAUGAGCUUUGCUCUGUAAGCCACUGUCGGAGGGGAAGAAAAGCAGCCUUAGGCUGCCGGGACUGUACCCUAAAAGGAAGGAUCGGCUAACUACGUGCCAGCAG